AGAGUUUGAUCAUGGCUCAGAUUGAACGCUGGCGGCAGGCCUAACACAUGCAAGUCGAGCGGAUGACGGGAGCUUGCUCCUUGAUUCAGCGGCGGACGGGUGAGUAAUGCCUAGGAAUCUGCCUGGUAGUGGGGGACAACGUUUCGAAAGGAACGCUAAUACCGCAUACGUCCUACGGGAGAAAGCAGGGGACCUUCGGGCCUUGCGCUAUCAGAUGAGCCUAGGUCGGAUUAGCUUGUUGGUGAGGUAAUGGCUCUCCAAGGCGACGCUCCGUAACUGGUCUGAGAGGAUGAUCAGUCCCUCUUUUUCCGAGACACGGUCCAGACUAUUACGGCAGGCUGCAAUGGCCGUCUUUUUCCAGAGAUCCAUCUCUGUGCCGGCCUCCCGAUCCACCUUCUCGUCGUGUGUUACAAUGUACAACAAGAGUAUGGCCAUUGAUUACCGGAUUCA
RNAcentral lists this ribosomal RNA (450 nucleotides) under uncultured bacterium. RNAcentral's name for it is "bacterial SSU rRNA". It matches the Rfam family "Bacterial small subunit ribosomal RNA", at positions 8 to 487 of the family's 1533-position model. The record is from RNAcentral.